GGAAACCCUGAAUCCAGCCACGCCGCGUGUGUGAAGAAGGCCUUCGGGUUGUAAAGCACUUUCAAUUGGGAGGAAAGGUUCACGGUUAAUAGCCGUGAGCUGUGACGUCACCUUUAGAAGAAGCACCGGCUAACUCCGUGCCAGCAGCCGCGGUAAUACGGAGGGUGCGAGCGUUAAUCGGAAUUACUGGGCGUAAAGCGCGCGCAGGUGGUUUGUUAAGUCGGAUGUGAAAGCCCCGGGCUCAACCUGGGAACUGCAUCCGAUACUGGCAGACUAGAGUGCGGGAGAGGGAGGUAGAAUUCCA
This 304-nucleotide ribosomal RNA is filed under the name uncultured beta proteobacterium. Its description in RNAcentral is "bacterial SSU rRNA". It matches the Rfam family "Bacterial small subunit ribosomal RNA", at positions 376 to 671 of the family's 1533-position model. Lineage: Bacteria; Pseudomonadati; Pseudomonadota; Betaproteobacteria. The record is from RNAcentral.